GAUGAACGCUAGCUACAGGCUUAACACAUGCAAGUCGAGGGGAAACGACAUCGAAAGCUUGCUUUUGAUGGGCGUCGACCGGCGCACGGGUGAGUAACGCGUAUCCAACCUGCCCAUCACUUGGGAAUAACCUUGCGAAAGUAAGACUAAUACCCAAUGAUAUCCCACGAAGGCAUCGGAAUGGGAUUAAAGAUUUAUCGGUGAUGGAUGGGGAUGCGUCUGAUUAGCUUGUUGGCGGGGUAACGGCCCACCAAGGCAACGAUCAGUAGGGGUUCUGAGAGGAAGGUCCCCCACAGUGGAACUGAGACACGGUCCAAACUCCUACGGGAGGCAGCAGUGAGGAAUAUUGGUCAAUGGGCGAGAGCCUGAACCAGCCAAGUAGCGUGCAGGAAGACGGCCCUAUGGGUUGUAAACUGCUUUUAUAAGGGAAUAAAGUGGGUCACGUGUGACUUUUUGCAUGUACCUUAUGAAUAAGGACCGGCUAAUUCCGUG
This 492-nucleotide ribosomal RNA is filed under the name uncultured bacterium. RNAcentral describes it as "partial 16S ribosomal RNA". It matches the Rfam family "Bacterial small subunit ribosomal RNA", at positions 28 to 507 of the family's 1533-position model. The record is from RNAcentral.